UAAGAAACCAACAGGGAUUGCCCUAGUAACGGCGAGUGAAGCGGCAACAGCUCAAAUUUGAAAUCUGGCUCUUUUAGGGUCCGAGUUGUAAUUUGCAGAGGGCGCUUUGGCUUUGGCAGCGGUCCAAGUUCCUUGGAACAGGACGUCACAGAGGGUGAGAAUCCCGUACGUGGUCGCUAGCUAUCGCCGUGUAAAGCCCCUUCGACGAGUCGAGUUGUUUGGGAAUGCAGCUCUAAAUGGGAGGUAAAUUUCUUCUAAAGCUAAAUAUUGGCCAGAGACCGAUAGCGCACAAGUAGAGUGAUCGAAAGAUGAAAAGCACUUUGGAAAGAGAGUCAAACAGCACGUGAAAUUGUUGAAAGGGAAGCGCUUGCAGCCAGACUUGCUUGCAGUUGCUCAUCCGGGCUUUUGCCCGGUGCACUCUUCUGUAGGCAGGCCAGCAUCAGUUUGGGCGGUGGGAUAAAGGUCUCUGUCACGUACCUCUCUUCGGGGAGGCCUUAUAGGGGAGACGACAUACCACCAGCCUAGACUGAGGUCCGCGCAUCUGCUAGGAUGCUGGCGUAAUGGCUGUAAGCGGCCCGUCUUGAAACACGGACCAAGGAGUCUAACAUCUAUGCGAGUGUUUGGGUGUCAAGCCCGAGCGCGUAAUGAAAGUGAACGGAGGUGGGAACCCGCAAGGGUGCACCAUCGACCGAUCCUGAAGUUUUCGGAAGGAUUUGAGUAAGAGCAUGGCUGUUGGGACCCGAAAGAUGGUGAACUAUGCUUGAAUAGGGUGAAGCCAGAGGAAACUCUGGUGGAGGCUCGCAGCGGUUCUGACGUGCAAAUCGAUCGUCAAAUUUGGGCAUAGGGGCGAAAGACUAAUCGAACUAUCUAGUAGCUGGUUCCUGCCG
This 887-nucleotide ribosomal RNA is filed under the name Stemphylium vesicarium. RNAcentral's name for it is "LSU rRNA". It matches the Rfam family "Eukaryotic large subunit ribosomal RNA", at positions 58 to 963 of the family's 3401-position model. Lineage: Eukaryota; Fungi; Ascomycota; Dothideomycetes; Pleosporales; Pleosporaceae. The record is from RNAcentral.